GGUGUUUCUCAGGUGAUGAACCCGAUAAUCGGGCUCCCUCCUCUCUGGUUCCAGGAUGCAUCACCCGAGAACCGCU
Molecule: non-coding RNA, 76 nt
Organism: Myotis lucifugus (little brown bat)
Lineage: Eukaryota; Metazoa; Chordata; Mammalia; Chiroptera; Vespertilionidae
Source: Rfam